Long non-coding RNA from Podarcis muralis (Common wall lizard), 4090 nucleotides. RefSeq lists it as uncharacterized. The record is from RefSeq and is a predicted model, not a curated record. Lineage: Eukaryota; Metazoa; Chordata; Lepidosauria; Squamata; Lacertidae.
CCUACCGAUGGAGAACCUAUAAAGGGCUCUAUAAUGGCUCUUGUGUCCCCCAUAAGGGAAUAAGGGCAGAUUUGGUUCACAACACAGCAGAUCACUGGAUCCAGAUAUCCCUGCCCCACACCAGCCACCUGGGUUCCCACCAACCUCUCAGGAUCCACACACCCCCUUCCACAAACAUCUUUUUCUUUCUUUUUUAUUGAAUUUGUAUCCCACCAGAGGUCAUUGCCUCCAUCCCUUAUUAGUUUCAGUUUGUGGUUCAGUCUACAUGCCCAAUAAGAAAAAACUUCCAAACUGAGACAUACUGUAGAUGAUGUUUAUGAUGAUUAUUAUUUGGUGUGGCUAUUCUAAUAACUUAAUCUUUUAUUUGAUUUGUAUAGACACUGAACUAUAUCCUUGCUCUGGGAUUGCAUUUGCUUCCCUGGCUGCCUGGUUAACCUGGUCUAACUGUCCCAAGCCAUGACCAUAUUAGCUGAGGCAGUUUGACAUCUGAGAACAAUGCAGAUUCAGAUUUGAAGAAAGAGGAAAUAAAUGCUUGUAACUAGUAGAUCAUGAGGACGGUAUGAAAAACUGUGCAUCCAAUGGUAUAAUCGGUCCUCAUGGGUCUAUGGAGCAGCAUAUAAUACUUGGAAGAUGGAAAGAACAGAUUGAGAGUCUGUAAGACUUCCACAACAGACUCGAGUGAAACCCAAAAUGACAGAGCCAGGCUGUUCUGCUACAGGGAUUGCAUUUUUCUUAAUGAAAACAAAGAAGGAAGCUCAUGAUUACUGACAACACCAAGGUUGCAGGUUCGAUCCCCGAAAGGGACAGCUGCAUAUUCCUGCACUGCAGUGGGUUGGACUAGAUUAUCCUCGGGGUCCUUUCCAACACUACAGUUCUAUGAUUGGUGGUAACAUUAAUGCCAAGUUGAAACAUCUGGUUCAGGCUUGCAUGAAAUGCCAGCAAAUGGCACCUUUUGUUCAGACAGAAGGUUGUGCUUGUGACAAAAUGGGACCACUGGAUAUAGUAGGCACUGUUUGAAGCAGCUGCAUCAUCAGGUCCUCCCCAAAAUGACUUGGCUGCAUCCUAUAGAACUGCCAUCUUAAAUCUUAGUAUUUUCAUGUUUGCGCUUUGGUCCUCCAGGCUCCAAAUGCACAUAUCCAGGAAUGCAGAUAAUGAAGAAAAUGAGGGUGGGCUUGCUUGCUUACUUGUUUCACCUUGGGACUACAGAAAGCCCGAGUUCCUUUGCAGUGAGUGAUGGAUGCUGUCUUAGAAAAAGGCACUUCUUCCUUGACCAUAUCAAGUUCUGGUAAUACUUCAGCCCCCUCAAACGGUCUGCAUCAAGUUAUUUAUAGCCAUGUUUUUAUUGGAAAAUUGCCAUAUACUGAGUAAAAACACUCAAGGCAUCAAGGUAUUGAUUUUUUAGAUGACAUCAAUAUAAACAGCGCUGAAUCUUCCUAGAUUGUGUGUGAGGAAGUGUGAAGCGUUUUACGUGUAGCAGCAAAUACACAGUUCCAUUGAGUGUUUUGCUUACCAAGAAAGUAGGAAUGAGAGUGAGGAAUACCAAAAGGAAGACUGCAGCAUUUAUUUACUUGGUUACCCCAAAGUACCAACCAUACUCGAAAAGAUGCCAUCUUAUUCUGAGAUUCAUGAGUGUCUGGUUGCUAAUUGGUUGCUGGGGGGGGGAGAGGGAGACAACAAAGUGCUGCUAACAGAACUGAGUUGUUGACUGUUUACUGUAAGGCGUCAGUGUGGUGUAGUGGUUAGAGUGUCAGACUAGCACCUGGGAGAGCAGAGUUCAAAUCCCUCACUGAGUGACCCUGGGCCAGUCACUCUCUCAGCCUAACCCACCACAUCGGCUUGUUGUGAAGUAAAGAUGUAGAGAACUAUGUCUGCCACUUUCAGCUUCUUGGUCGAAAGGUUGUACAGUAUAUAAAUGUUGUAAUAACUGGGGCAUUAUUUAAAAGCCAGAUUGGUAAAAGGCAGCUUUUUCUUCACAAAAUUUGAAUAGUAGUCAAGGAAGUUUGAGACAGCAUCUUGGAGCCUUUCCCCAGCUCUUUCGGACAGGUUUCAAGUUUGGUGACAAAAGGGCUCUAUAAUGGCUCUUGUGUCCCCCAUAAGGGAAUAAGGGCAGAUUUUGUUUACAACACAGCAGAUCACUGGAUCCAGAUACCCCUGCCCCACACCAGCUACCUGGGUUCCCACCAACCUCUCAGGAUCCACCCCCCUUCCACAAACAUCUUUUUCUUUCUUUUUUAUUGAAUUUGUAUCCCACCAGAGGUCAUUGCCUCCAUCCCUUAUUAGUUUCAGUUUGUGGUUCAGUCUACAUGCCCAAUAAGAAAAAACUUCCAAACUGAGACAUACUGUAGAUGAUGUUUAUGAUGAUUAUUAUUUGGUGUGGCUAUUCUAAUAACUUAAUCUUUUAUUUGAUUUGUAUAGACACUGAACUAUAUCCUUGCCCUGGGAUUACAUUUGCUUCCCUGGCUGCCUGGUUAACCUGGUCUAACUGUCCCAAGCCAUGACCAUAUUAGCUGAGGCAGUGUUCUGAUAAGGAUGCAACCUAGGCACCAAUGAAAUCCGUUUAGCUAAUUGAUAUUUUGCCUUUUAAACCUAUCAGUUGAUCCAAAGUAAAUCACUAUAUCAUGAAAAGUCAUGGUAGGCCACUGCCGCCCGCCCCCCCCCCCCCCGGUCAAAUUGCCUGCCUUGUUGAUCUGAUAAAGCAAUGCAACAGGUAGAAGCAUGAAUGUGCAUUCAGUGUGCAUGGAGCCAUGCUGUGCGUGAGCUGCUGGGAAGGCAUCCAUUCCAACUGGGUCUUUGAAAUCAGACACUGGAAGAUUCGAGCAGAGUUCAAAGCAAGGAAUGCCAGGAAUAGUUUAGCUGAAAUGCAAAUUAAACCCAGUGCUUGUCAAAUGCUGUGAUGUUGCCGCACAGUGGAUGGAGGAGAAGGCCAGCCUUGGUGCUGUGACUAGCCUCAAGCUAUGACUGAAUUUGCUUACUCGACCACUGAGGGACUCUCUUGCCUCAUACAGAACAAAAAUGUUUAGCAGGGCUUCUAGAUCCAACUCUAUGAACACACACCACUAUAGAAAACACAGUAUACUUGACACAAAUAAAAGAUGAAUGCUCUUGCGUAAUAAAGCAUCGGUUUCCAUUCUGCCCCAUGUCUUUCGCAUGAAGUGCUGUUUCCAUUCCACUGCAGUUUAGCUUCCAAUGAAAACUACGUUAUCUGUCUUGCUGCCGGCUGUGGCAAAAUUCUGUGUAAUUAAUUACAAUUAUGUCAUUCCACAUCAUUUAAAUGCAAAUGGAAUGCAGUGCAAAUGGGUGUAGUAGGUACUAUUUGUGAACUGAAAACAACAGUGAAUACUGAUUGUAUUGACUGGAUUGAUUUCCAUUCCAAACAUGGGACGAAAAAACAGACACAGUUAAUUUCUGUUCUUUUCUGCUGAAAUUCUCCAACAAUCCGACUCUUCAGGUGUUUGUGCUUGUGCGUGUCCCAGGAACAAAACUGAUGUUCCUGUGUGUGCAUGUACAUGGCUAGCCAAUGAUCAGGAUGGCUGCUUCAGAGCACUAGAAUCAAGAGACAAGCCCUUUUGGCAGGAAAUCUUGAAUCUUAUCAGUGAUAUAAUUAGAUCUAAUAUAGCUUUAGACCCAAAGUAAAUGUUCCUUGGUAGCCUAAAAGGUAUCAUUUGGAAGACAGAUUUAAGAACUCGCUUUCACAUUAAUUCCAGCAAAGUUGGUGAUAGCAAUUAAUCAGAUACAAUGUAACAGUACAUGAAAAUCUGAAAUAUAGUUUUUUACAAACUUAAAAGUACACUGCUGUCAGAGGAGGAUGAGCUGAUGAUAGAUGUAUCAAAAGAUGGAGUUCAUUUAUAAACUACAGUAUUGGAAUUUGAAAUUUCUAGAUAAUAUCCAGCUGUACACUUUAACUCAAUGUGACCUGAAGUGAUAACUGGAUGAUUGUUUCUGUAUUAUUUAAAGUGUGAUAUUAUCAUUAUAGGCAGAACUUUCUGAUUAUAUGUAUGUAUGUAAGCCAAGGGGUCCCAAAACUGUGAUUGACAAACUUUAUUUAGGCGAACUAUAGCAUGCCUGCAUUAAAUAUUCAUAUUGAUUUUAA